AAGGAUGAGAAGCUUCGACUAAGGUUCGACUCGAGCGAAGCGAGAGAACGUUGCCGCAGGCAACGGCCCGAAGGGCGAGGCGCUUUAGCGCCGAGUAAUCCUUCCCCCACCACCA
This 115-nucleotide small RNA is filed under the name Klebsiella pneumoniae. RNAcentral's name for it is "RtT sRNA". It matches the Rfam family "RtT RNA", at positions 18 to 130 of the family's 130-position model. Rfam says of the family: This family represents a bacterial cis-regulatory element known as RtT RNA. The exact function of RtT is unknown although it is thought that it may be involved in changing the cellular response in relation to amino acid starvation. The record is from RNAcentral. Lineage: Bacteria; Pseudomonadati; Pseudomonadota; Gammaproteobacteria; Enterobacterales; Enterobacteriaceae.